GAACGAUGGCACGGAUCCGAGAGGUCCAAUU
RNAcentral lists this non-coding RNA (31 nucleotides) under Bombyx mori (domestic silkworm). Lineage: Eukaryota; Metazoa; Arthropoda; Insecta; Lepidoptera; Bombycidae. The record is from RNAcentral.